This 868-nucleotide ribosomal RNA is filed under the name uncultured archaeon. RNAcentral describes it as "bacterial SSU rRNA". It matches the Rfam family "Archaeal small subunit ribosomal RNA", at positions 1 to 878 of the family's 1478-position model. The record is from RNAcentral.
CUCCGGUUGAUCCUGCCGGACCCGACUGCUAUCAGAGUGGGACUAAGCCAUGCGAGUCAACGUAGCAAUACGUGGCAUACGGCUCAGUAACACGUAGUCAACAUGCCCAGGGGACGAGGAUAACCUCGGGAAACUGAGGAUAAACCUCGAUAGGCCAUGAUUUCUGGAAUGAUUCUUGGCUCAAACCUAUAUGGCCCCUGGAUUGGACUGCGGCCGAUCAGGCUGUUGGUGAGGUAAUGGCCCACCAAACCUAUUACCGGUACGGGCUCUGAGAGGAGGAGCCCGGAGAUGGGCACUGAGACAAGGGCCCAGGCCCUAUGGGGCGCAGCAGGCGCGAAACCUCUGCAAUAGGCGAAAGCUUGACAGGGUUACUCUGAGUGAUUUCCGCUAAGGGAAUCUUUUGGCACCUCUAAAAAUGGUGCAGAAUAAGGGGUGGGCAAGUCUGGUGUCAGCCGCCGCGGUAAUACCAGCACCCCGAGUGGUCGGGACGAUUAUUGGGCCUAAAGCAUCCGUAGCCGGUUCUACAAGUCUUCCGUUAAAUCCACCUGCUUAACAGAUGGGCUGCGGAAGAUACUAUAGAGCUAGGAGGCGGGAGAGGCAAGCGGUACUCGAUGGGUAGGGGUAAAAUCCGUUGAUCCAUUGAAGACCACCAGUGGCGAAGGCGGCUUGCCAGAACGCGCUCGACGGUGAGGGAUGAAAGCUGGGGGAGCAAACCGGAUUAGAUACCCGGGUAGUCCCAGCUGUAAACGAUGCAGACUCGGUGAUGAGGUGGCUUAUUGCUAACUCAGUGCCGCAGGGAAGCCGUUAAGUUUGCCGCCUGGGGCGUACGGUCGCAAGACUGAAACUUAAAGGAAUUGGCGGGGGAGCA